GUGGUAGAACCAUCACACUGAGGGAUGGGAAAGUACAGGAAGAGAUAGACGGGAGGUCGAUGCAGAGAUGGGGAGAGUUGGAAGUGGGGGGCGGGGGACACGUAGAGAAUGCAGGUGGAGUGACAAGGCUAGAAACCAUGCUGAGAAAAUUCAGGCAUUGGUUUGUAGGUAGUUUCGACAGUGAGCAGUGUGACAUGCUCCAGACACACCAUGGAAAAGUCAUCUUGGUGGCACAUUGAAAUUUGGCCUGGGAAGGGCUGAAGAUGGGGACAGGUUAGGGGUAUGUCAGUGCUAUAAGGGGCUGAAAAUGCACUGCAACCACAGCAAAGGUCAGGUGCCUGAGAUGACAACAAUAAUGAACCGCGGCCCUAAGUGGCAGGUCUGUUGCCCCAUCUUACAGACGAAGAAACUGAGGCUCAGAAAGGAGAGUUUACAGGUGAGAAAACAGAAGCUUGGAGACAUUACGAAACGCGCCUCGGGCCACACAGCUAGUUAACAGUAAACGUCUGACUCCCAAGGGCAUCUGCAUAGACAAAUACGGGAAAGAUGCGGAAGAAUCCACCCCCAAGGGAUUGUAAAGCUGCAGCCCGGACUAAAGGAAAGAAACGAAUGUAGAAGUCAGAAAAGAUGAAGAAUGUGUGAGAUCGAGGACUCACGGAGGAGAGACCUUCCAGAAGGGAGUCAACAGUAUCAGCUGCCUCCGAAAGACCCAACCAACAGGAUGAAGACCAAGAUGAGGAAAGAGGAGAGCCACUGACGCCCUCACAUUUCUUCUGGAAAACGUUUAUUUGUUAUUUAUCUCCAGCCACCUUCCUGUCUCAGUCCAGACCCACAUUUUCCAUCGCGUCUUCCUGGAUGUCAUUACCUGGCAAUUCUGCUUGGCAGGGACCUGGCUUCAGCCACAGCGACGAGUGCCACUACCUGGAACACGCAGAGACAAGGAUGAGCUGCGGGAGCACAGCCUCCGCGCAGGCCCACACCACCCAGCUGGGACCCACGAAUCUGCUCUUUGGAACCCACGGAAGAACCCAGGGGGCAGCGAUUUCAGUCAAGACAGGACCUGAUCACGUCCACGGCAGCUCUGGGUGGGCGAGGGGCCCCACGCAGGAAGCCAGGCCAACAGGGGCUGAGAAGCAAGUGCGGCGGAGGCUUGACCCAGGAGUUCACAGGACGGAAGAGGUGGAUGAGAGAGUCAGAGCAGAGGAGGCCUGGGCACGUGACCAACGACGAAGCAAGAGUCUGGAGGGGACAGAGUUCAAAGGAGAGGGAGGGUGUCUGCUUGGUCACCAGCUAGGGAGGGUGCAGGGGCGAUGACUCCAGCUCUUUGACACGGCCGGUUUACAGCGAUGAGUGGAGGAGCUGCAAGGGACUUGGACUGAGGGAGCGGCUCCCGGAAAGCCGUGGACAUUCACGUAGAAGUUUAGAGGGGGCCCAGGCUGAAGAGUCCAGGCUCAUCGAGGAUGGGUGACCGCGGGCGCCGUGGGAGUCCACGGCCUCCUCCAGGGAGAGGCUGUAAAUGAGACAGAAAGCUGGACCCUGCAGAGACCCACCUCGGAAGGGAGGCAGGAGAGCAGCCAAUGAAACGCGAGAAGGAGAGGAGAGUGAGAGAGAUGGAGACACAGAGAGAGAGACAGACAGAGACCAAAGGGCAGAAAGGUCGAGCCAAAUGAACCCUGCCAGGCCACCGGACUGUGCGGCUCAGAGGUCACUGGGCAUCCCUGAGUCUUGUUCUUUUGCUGACUCUGCCAUGAAUGUCCUUGCCCUUAGUAAAGACACAGCCAAGUAAUUAGGGAUAAGGAGACAUGACAUCUGCAGUUUACCUGCAAAUGGUUUAGAGAAUAAUACGUAUAUACAUAGAGAGAGAGAGAAUGCUAAAGCAAAUGUGGCAGACGUUCACAAGCGGAGAAUCUGGGCCAAGAGUUUGGGGGAUUGUUUACAAGAAUGAGUGUCAGAGCGACCGUCAGUUUUAGCCUCCACCGAAACUGAUGGACUGGACUGAAGACGGAGGCGCCAUCUGGAGUUAAUGCUCUCCGCCCAACACUACUCCUUGCCUGUACUUUGCGCGAUUCAAGAG
Molecule: long non-coding RNA, 2074 nt
Organism: Equus caballus (horse)
Lineage: Eukaryota; Metazoa; Chordata; Mammalia; Perissodactyla; Equidae
Source: Ensembl